This is a non-coding RNA of Heterocephalus glaber (naked mole-rat), 2212 nucleotides long. Lineage: Eukaryota; Metazoa; Chordata; Mammalia; Rodentia; Bathyergidae. The record is from RefSeq and is a predicted model, not a curated record.
ACCCACACGCCGCACCCCUCCCAUCUCCGCGGGCACGGGCGCGCUUGCGUCACUACCCAGCCGGCUGGAUCUGGUUCCUGCCAAGCCGUAGGCUGACCUGCGUAGUAUGUACGCGCUGCAGCGGGCUGUGGGCCGGGCGAGCGGUUGACGGUUUCGUGCGAGGGUCCCGGCCGCCCGUCCCGGACGACACCCGCUAGCCGGGACGCGGAGGCGUGAGUUCCCAGGGACGGGGCCUGAUGUGCAUGAUGUUGGAAAAUUGGAUGGACAGCCUGUUGAGAUGGUGAAGUAUGGGCUCAAUAAAAAGUUUGGAGAAUCUCGGGGCUUUGUUUCUAGAAACCCAAUAUAAUCUAUAAAACAUGCCCCUCUCUCAGACCCUAUCUUCCUCCUGUGCAGGAACACAUCUCAUGGUGGGAGGCUCUGCUGUCUGACAUUUGUAAUGACGGGGUAGAAACCAGAGACCUUGUUGCUGGUGCCCCUUGCCCCUUAGCCUGCCGUUUAGCAAACUGCCUCACACCACAGAUUUUUUAGUUUAAUCUGUAGGUUGAAGAGCAAGAGUAAAAGUUAAGUUUUCUACUGUCCUGGAGGAAUUUGGUAGCAGCUACCAGAGCUGCUUGUGGCCGUCACAUCUUGCACCCACAGUGGUUUCCUAGUGUUUUGUGACAGUUGUGGGCUGCUGACACAUGCAGCAGAACAUGGGCAGUUUUGAGAAGCUGUGGGAGGCUGUGCUGCUGGGCCCUUUCACCCCGUGUGAGGCCUCUGUUGUGGGGGUAGGCACCGUGCAUUUCUCAGUUCUGGCCUGGGAGGCAGGUACCAUCAGCAGCUAAGGUAGUGGGAUUUUAAGAAGAAAGUGUGUAAGAACCCUGUCCUGGCCUCACCCCCUUGAAAUCUCUAUUUUCUUCUCUGUAGGAUGAGGAGCAAGGUUCUAGGAUCUGAAUCAGUGACACUAUGUGUGUAUGUUUCUGGAAAGAAGGUACAGCAGCUUUCAGCCUGUUCUCCAAGGCCCAGGUGGGAUGAGGCUAAAUGACUGCAGUAUUAGAAUGCAUAGGAAGACUCCACCUAGGAGAUCCUGGCUUCCCAAGGGUGUCCUAUAUGAUGUUGGGCUGGGACUGUGGACGUUCAACCUGGGUCAGGAAGUUUUAGCUUGGAUGGAAUAAACACAUCUUUUCACUUACAUCCAAGGGACAUGGAGCAUUUCUUUUCUACAGUAGACAGCAGUGGUCUGGGCAGGACCUAGGCUGAGUGAUGUUAGCACAGAGGCUUCCUGUCCCGUUGCAGAUGGGAACAUCUCACUGUCCUCAGUUGCAUUUCCCAGGUACGGAGCCUUAGGCUUGCUAUUUGGUUUUGUCGUUUGGCGUGUUGACAAAAUACAGAUAUCACUGGGGCUCUGGUGUUUUUUUGUGGGCUGCUACUGAGUUCAGUUUGUACCCAAGUAUGUCUGCAUGUUCCUACUUUAUAUAUUUAGUUAUUUUGGUUUUGGUUUUUUGUUUUUUUGGCAGUACUGGGGAUUGAACUGAGAGCCUCACACAUGCUAUGCAAGUGCUUUUCCCCUAAGCUGCAUCCUUGCUUUGUGCAUUUAGAAAUGUCAUUACAAGAAGGGGUCCCUGGGCAGUGUCACCCCAUUGGUCACAGCAGGGCUCUGGCAAGAGAGCCGGCCCUAAGCCCCCAUGCUGACCUGGAUGGGUGGCCGCCCUCCCUGUCCUCCAGGAGCUCACGUAUGCCUGCUUGUGAGCGCCUCGAUGACAGAGCCGGCGUCCGCCUCUGCAUCUGCAGCCCCUGUGCCUGCAGCCCAUCAUGGCAGCAUCCUUGAGUGGCUGCUGCACUGGUGCUCCAAAGUCGCUCCAUUUGUGAUCAAGAUCUCUCAGAAUGGGAGGGAAGGCAGUGGUGAGGAAGGAGCCAGAGAGCACUCACAUCUUAGUCCAGUCAGAUAUUGUGUUGGGAAAUUUGGGCAAAGUAGGGUUUAAAGAAUUUAGAGAUGUGCAUAUUUCAUGUAAUAAUUCUGACCGAGUCUGCUGUGUAUGUCUCUUCAUUAAAAAGACCCCAUGACCCCCACGAUCAUGGACCUGGUCUCAGGCAGGAUCCUCGGACAGGGUCUUGCUGUGUGUCUUCAGAUGUUACCAUGGGAAGAACCCGGCAUAGGGUGUCCCUGGAUUACCUUAUGUACCCACUUGUGCUUCUAUAAUUGUCUCAAUAAAACGCUUAAUUUUUUAAAGUC